Molecule: ribosomal RNA, 254 nt
Filed under: uncultured bacterium
Lineage: Bacteria
Description: partial 16S ribosomal RNA
Rfam family: Bacterial small subunit ribosomal RNA
Source: RNAcentral
UACAGGGGGGUGCAAACGUUGCUCGGAAUCAUUGGGCGUAAAGCGCACGUAGGCGGUUCGUUAUGUCGGAUGUGAAAGCCCUUGGCUUAACCGAGGAAGUGCAUCCGAAACUGGCGAGCUAGAGUACGAAAGAGGAUCGCGGAAUUCCCGGUGUAGAGGUGAAAUUCGUAGAUAUUGGGAAGAACACCGGUGGCGAAGGCGGCUCACUGGCUCGUAUCUGACGCUCAGGCGCGACAGCGUGGGGAUCAAACAGG